RNAcentral lists this ribosomal RNA (600 nucleotides) under Octospora grimmiae. RNAcentral's name for it is "partial large subunit ribosomal RNA". It matches the Rfam family "Eukaryotic large subunit ribosomal RNA", at positions 100 to 664 of the family's 3401-position model. Lineage: Eukaryota; Fungi; Ascomycota; Pezizomycetes; Pezizales; Pyronemataceae. The record is from RNAcentral.
GGCAAAAGCUCAAAUUUGAAAUCUGACGUUCAUUCGGAUGUCCGAGUUGUAAUUUGGAGGAGCGUCUUCGGGAGCAGACACCGUCCUAAGUUCUUUUGGAACUGGACAUCACAGAGGGUGAGAAUCCCGUGCCUGGGCGGCAGUCUGUUUCCAUGCGAAGCGUUUCCGACGAGUCGAGUUGUUUGGGAAUGCAGCUCAAAACGGGUGGUAAAUUUCAUCUAAAGCUAAAUACGGGCGAGAGACCGAUAGCGCACAAGUAGAGUGAUCGAAAGAUGAAAAGCACUUUGAAAAGAGAGUUAAAAAGUACGUGAAAUUGUUGAAAGGGAAGCGCUUGAGAUUGAACCUGGAAGGGAUGGCAGACUGGUAGCGGCUCUUUGGGCCCCCUACCUUUACAAACCGCCAUCUCACUCCCAGGCCACCAUCGGUUCUGACGGCGAGAAAAACAGCCAGGGAAUGUGGCUCCCCUCGGGGAGUGUUAUAGACCUAGCCUAUUUGCGCCAGCCGGGACCGAGGAAUGAGCGAGCUCUGGGUUAACCCCCCAGGAUCUCAAGGAUGUGUGGCAUGUUGAUCUUAAGCGACCCGUCUUGUAUACAGUGAAAC